Molecule: ribosomal RNA, 253 nt
Filed under: uncultured bacterium
Lineage: Bacteria
Description: partial 16S ribosomal RNA
Rfam family: Bacterial small subunit ribosomal RNA
Source: RNAcentral
UACGAAGGGGGCUAGCGUUGCUCGGAAUCACUGGGCGUAAAGCGCACGUAGGCGGAUCUUUAAGUCAGGGGUGAGAUCCUGGAGCUCAACUCCAGAACUGCCUUUGAUACUGGGGAUCUCGAGUCCGGGAGAGGUGAGUGGAACUGCGAGUGUAGAGGUGAAAUUCGUAGAUAUUCGCAAGAACACCAGUGGCGAAGGCGGCUCACUGGCCCGGUACUGACGCUGAGGUGCGAAAGCGUGGGGAGCAAACAGG